AGGACGAACGCUGGCGGCGCGCUUAACACAUGCAAGUCGAGCGAGAACCGGUCCUUCGGGACCGGGGAAAGCGGCGAACGGGUGAGUAACACGUGGGUAAUCAACCCUCGGUACCGGGAUAGCCCGAGGAAACUCGGAUUAAUACCGGAUGGCCCAACAGCCUUUCGGGGCGGUUGGAAAAGGUAGCUUCGGCCUCCGACCGAGGACGAGCCCGCGGCGGAUUAGCUUGUUGGUGGGGUAACGGCCCACCAAGGCGACGAUCCGUAGCUGGUCUGAGAGGACGAUCAGCCACACUGGGACUGAGACACGGCCCAGACUCCUACGGGAGGCAGCAGUGGGGAAUCUUGCACAAUGGGCGAAAGCCUGAUGCAGCGACGCCGCGUGAGGGAAGAAGGCUUUCGGGUUGUAAACCUCUUUCAGGGAGGGACGAAGCUACGUCGGGUUAAUAGCCCAGAGGGUGACGGUACCUCCAGAAGAAGCCCGGCUAACUACGCGCCAGCAGCCGC
RNAcentral lists this ribosomal RNA (506 nucleotides) under uncultured bacterium. RNAcentral's name for it is "SSU rRNA". It matches the Rfam family "Bacterial small subunit ribosomal RNA", at positions 26 to 518 of the family's 1533-position model. The record is from RNAcentral.